GAUGAACGCUGGCGGCGUGCCUAAUACAUGCAAGUCGAGCGAACAGACGAGGAGCUUGCUCCUCUGACGUUAGCGGCGGACGGGUGAGUAACACGUGGAUAACCUACCUAUAAGACUGGGAUAACUUCGGGAAACCGGAGCUAAUACCGGAUAAUAUAUUGAACUGCAUGGUUCAAUAGUGAAAGACGGUUUUGCUGUCACUUAUAGAUGGAUCCGCGCCGCAUUAGCUAGUUGGUAAGGUAACAGCUUACCAAGGCAACGAUGCGUAGCCGACCUGAGAGGGUGAUCGGCCACACUGGAACUGAGACACGGUCCAGACUCCUACGGGAGGCAGCAGUAGGGAAUCUUCCGCAAUGGGCGAAAGCCUGACGGAGCAACGCCGCGUGAGUGAUGAAGGUCUUCGGAUCGUAAAACUCUGUUAUUAGGGAAGAACAAAUGUGUAAGUAACUAUGCACGUCUUGACGGUACCUAAUCAGAAAGCCACGGCUAACUACGUG
Molecule: ribosomal RNA, 497 nt
Filed under: uncultured bacterium
Lineage: Bacteria
Description: partial 16S ribosomal RNA
Rfam family: Bacterial small subunit ribosomal RNA
Source: RNAcentral